CGACCGGCGCACGGUGAGUAACGCGUAUCCAACCUGCCCACCACUUGGGAUAACCUUGCGAAAGUAAGACUAAUACCCAAUGAUAUCUCUAGAAGACAUCUGAAAGAGAUUAAAGAUUUAUCGGUGAUGGAUGGGGAUGCGUCUGAUUAGCUUGUUGGCGGGGUAACGGCCCACCAAGGCAACGAUCAGUAGGGGUUCUGAGAGGAAGGUCCCCCACAUUGGAACUGAGGCACGGUCCAA
Molecule: ribosomal RNA, 240 nt
Filed under: uncultured bacterium
Lineage: Bacteria
Description: partial 16S ribosomal RNA
Rfam family: Bacterial small subunit ribosomal RNA
Source: RNAcentral